RNAcentral lists this unclassified non-coding RNA (329 nucleotides) under soil metagenome. Its description in RNAcentral is "partial contains 5.8S ribosomal RNA, internal transcribed spacer 2, and large subunit ribosomal RNA". The stretch from base 1 to 120 matches the Rfam family "5.8S ribosomal RNA", at positions 35 to 154 of the family's 154-position model. The record is from RNAcentral.
GAUGAAGAACGUAGCGAAAUGCGAUAAGUAAUGUGAAUUGCAGAAUUUAGUGAAUCAUCGAAUCUUUGAACGCAUAUUGCGCCCGCCAGCACUCUGGCGGGCAUGCCUGUUCGAUCGUCAUUUCAACCCUCAGGCCUCGCGUCUGGCGUUGGGGCGCUGCGGCCCUCCCGCAGGCCCCCAAAUCUAGCGGCGGAUCCGCCGCGGCCCUGAGCGCAGUACAUCUCGCGCUUUGCACUCAUAACGACAGCGUCCAAAAGUACAUUUUACACUCUUGACCUCGGAUCAGGUAGGGAUACCCGCUGAACUUAAGCAUAUCAAUAAGCGGAGGA